CUGCUGAUGAUGGAAACCUUCUUCAGAACUUUAAAUGAGCCCAAACAUGACAUGUACUCAGAAACAGGCGCUAAAUAAAACUCAUCUGAAUAAACAAAGAACCAACAAACAGGUCAGAUCAUGAUGGAAUAAAACAAAAAACCAACAGAGACGUGAUGGGUCCCAUCCAGACCCCGCUGGCUUCAUGAAAACCCUGUGUGACCUCUGUCUCAUCUUCUGUAUCUGCUGACCUUUAGUGGAGAAUAGAUUAGAAUAUCAAUCAAACUGGAUCAAUACAGCACCUUUCAACAAGUCUUGCAUUGGCUAAGGUUCUUUACAAAAUAAAAAACACAAAAACAGUGUCAAGUAAAAACAAUAUUAGCUUUAAAAUAAAAUUAGAACGACCAAAACAUAAGAAAUACAAAAGAAAUGUGGUAUAGUUAUUAAUAAUCACAUAUACAGAUUAGUGAAAUGUUCAACUGGGUAGUUGUGACUAGUUGUAAUUGUGCAUAAGAAAAAAACAACAAACUAUUGAAAAACUGGUCAAAUACCAGCAGGGAUGUGAACACUUAUUGAGCUUGUUGGGAGCAGAGAUGGUUCUAAAGUCUUCCUCAGUGUUCCCAGAACCUUUCUCUGUUCCUCAGCCCUGGAACAAACUGCCUGAAAACCUGAGAUGUUAAAAAACUUUUUAAAUGUCAUGUCUGUGUUCCUCAACAACCAACAAACAGUUUGGUUUUGGUCAUGCGUGUUUUUGAUCUGUGGUAAGAAGCUGGAGUACCCAGAGAGACCCCACAUGUUGCUGCAGGGCAGCAGUGCUAACAUCUGCAUCACCUUGUAGCCUUCUAGAAGUUCCUGCUCCUUAUAAAUCAAAAUCACCUCCAUCUCUAUCCCUGGUCUCCAUGUGAACCAACUUAUGAAAUUAACUUAAUAUUUAUCAAUAUCUUUCUUUUUAUCUUGUACCUGUGAUGCUUUAUAAAAUCUGUAAAUGGAGAAAAUCUGAUCAAAUAUUGUUGAGAUGUCGGCUUCUGGAAACAAGUCUAGAAUAGGUUCGGUUCAGUGUUUUUUCAGGACGGAUAUUACUGGCGACAAACAUCGCCCCCUGAUGGAAAGUUUCUAGCAUUACAAUGUUUGUACAGAAAGAGGUUUGAUUGACAGCGUUUUGUUUAGCUUGUUUUAAAGUAAUUUAUGAAUAAAGUAAUAUUAAAUAAACUUUUUUGGCAGACUUCAGCUGUAAAACGUCCCAUUUAUACGAAAAGAAAAAAAUGAGAAACAUGAGUCAGAUAUUCAUAAAGAACACAGAGGAGCAUUGAUCCUCCACUACCAGCUGAAGAUUAUUAGAGAUGGUUUAUAACUCCUGUGAUGAUCAGAAUCUUCUGGACUCCAGGAAAACAGACAUUUCCACAUCUUUAUACAUCUAUAAGCCAAGAUUUUAUUCAGCUGAUUAAAUCCUUUUGGAGUAAACACAGUUUGGUCAGAUAUGAAACUAUAAAAUCAAACAGUUCAAUUUAAAAAAAUGUGUUUAAUAUCCUAAAAUAUCCUUCAGUUAAACAGGCUUUAAGAGCUUUUUAGUUUAUUAAAGUAAAACAUGACGUAAAAUGUAUUCAUGCACAACGUCUUCUGUGGUCUCAGCAGUUGAGUCUGAUGCGUCUUCAUCGCUCGAAGGCAUCAGGCUUCAUUUGCUUCUUGCUCUUCACCUGCAGAGGAACAUAGAGAGUGAUGAAGAUCAGGAGACAGUAUCUGAGGAAGCUUGAUUAUAUCAUGAAGGACUUUUAUUUAAAUUAUUUAACUAUCCCCAUCUCAGACUCUACAUGCCUUAGUUAAUAUGUCAAAUGUUAAAGUUCAUGACAGGACAUUUACAGAAGACAAGAAUGGCUUCUUUGGAAGGGUUGAAGGUGAAAGCCUCUAAUAUCUUCUCUCAGAUGGAAAAUGUACAGAUGAGACCAAAGUAGAGAUGUUUGGCUAUAAUGCACAGCAGCAUGCCUGGAGAAAACCCAAACAGCAUAUUGACACUGUUAAACACGGUGGUGGAUGGUUGAUGAUAUGGGCUUGCUCUUCAGCAACAAAUCCUGGUCAUUGAGUGGAUCAUGAACCCCUCUGGAUACCAAAGCAUUCCAGACUCUGCUCCAGACAGGAAUAUUCCCCAAACACCCGCUCAGUGACAGGAACUUCACAGGACCUUUUGUUCUUGCAGCUGCAGUAAAACACAAGGGAGGCAGUAAAACUCUUAUCAUCCACUUCCUGCUGCAGAUCACUACAAUACCCAUAAUCCCAUCCUGUUGCAGUGAGUGGGCUGGUCUGAGCAGAGAAAAUGGUCAAAGUGAUCCACAAUCAAGGAGGAAACAGAUUAAUCAUGAAUUUAAAGGCUUGUAGUUGUUAGACAAAUGCACUUUGGGAGUUGUAGUUCAUUUAGCUACUGUAUUGUUUUAUUGGUUGAUGAAAAAAGUAUUUAUUAUCUGUAAAAUAUAAUUGAUCCUGUCAGGAUAUUACAGUAAAAGACAUUCCUCUUCCUGUGUGAUUCCUGCAGUAAUAAUACCAGAAGCUCUGCAGAAAGUGGACUUAUUUCCUCACAUGCUUCCCUUCAGCAUUAGAACUGUUCUGACCACAGCAUUUCAGAGUUUCCUUACAGAUCCUCCACCAUCAUCUCAGCCCAGGAGAACGAGCAGCAGCUGUCCGGUCCGUCGUCGGGAUGUGGUUUUCCCUCCCCACACCUCGUCCCGAUGCCGACCUUGUACAAGAUGUGAUUCAGGGUGAUCUUAUGGUCGACAUCUGGAGCAGAGAAACUCAGAACGUUAGAGAAGCUGUCAGAAGAUUCGAGCUACUAGAACAUGGCAUAAGGCAGAAAAUAAGAUAAAGCCACCAAAGAAGCUACUGCUGCCGUUAAUUGAUUACUUUCACUUGAGAAUGGAAACUACUCCUGGUUCAGCGUGUCUAGGUUUGUAUUUAUCCUCUGCCUUUUCAGCCCCCAGUUGGGUGCGGCAGAUUGCUGCUCACACUGAGACGGGGUUCUGGUUCUGCUGGUGGUUUCUUCCUGUUAAAGGUGAGCUGUUCCUUUCAACUGUCGCCACAUGCUUGCUCAGAUGGAGGGAUUGGUGCAAAGUUCAUGACUUGAUGCAAGGACCCUUAGAUACUUAACUUUAUACCAGGUGGCAUGUGUUGGAAUAAUUGAAUAAAGAUUUGUCUUAUAGUUUCUCCUAUUUUUUAAGUUAAUUAUUUGAUCUUAUAAUCAUUCAUGAUGUUUGUGUGAGUAAAGGAUGUGUGAGUUUGUCUGCAGGCAAAGAUCAUAAAUGGAGCUGAACUAGCAGAGAAGGAAGCAGUCCAGUUGAGGAGGUCAUAAAGAUGAAGGCUGAUUACACUGAAAGGCACAACUGAUCCUGGGAAGAUGGAGAGAUUGUGGAAAUGUGUUGUUAAAGGAUAAAGUUGUUUAUGACCUGUUUACGAUGCAGCUGUUGUUUCCCAUCCUUAGAGAGCAUCGUUCUUUGUAAAUAGGGACCCCCGAAUGAUAAUAAAAAGAGGAGGCGGACAGAUGCUGUUCAGAGCGGUGCGAGAUCUGUAACUGAACACAUCUCUGACCGUUUCUCCUCGCAGCGAGUAAAAUAACUAA
Molecule: long non-coding RNA, 3580 nt
Organism: Girardinichthys multiradiatus
Lineage: Eukaryota; Metazoa; Chordata; Actinopteri; Cyprinodontiformes; Goodeidae
Exons: 2
Source: RefSeq, a predicted model, not a curated record